RNAcentral lists this ribosomal RNA (493 nucleotides) under uncultured bacterium. RNAcentral describes it as "partial 16S ribosomal RNA". It matches the Rfam family "Bacterial small subunit ribosomal RNA", at positions 30 to 523 of the family's 1533-position model. The record is from RNAcentral.
AUUGAACGCUGGCGGCAUGCCUUACACAUGCAAGUCGAACGGUAACAGGUUAAGCUGACGAGUGGCGAACGGGUGAGUAAUAUAACGGAACGUGCCCAGUCGUGGGGGAUGACUGCUCGAAAGAGUAGCCAAUACUGCAUACGAUCUGAGGGUGAAAGCGCGGGAUGGCAAGACCUCGCGCGAUUGGAGCGGCUGAUAUCAGAUUAGCUAGUUGGGGGGGUAAAAGCCUACCAGGGCAACGAUCUGUAGCUGGUCUGAGAAGACGACCAGCCACACUGGGACUGAAACACGGCCCAGACUCCUACGGGAGGCAGCAGUGGGGAAUUUUGGACAAUGGACGAAAGUCUGAUCCAGCCAUGCCGCGUGCGGGAAGAAGGCCUUCGGGUUGUAAACCGCUUUUGUCAGGGAAGAAAAGGUUCUGGUUAAUACCUGGGACUCAUGACGGUACCUGAAGAAUAAGCACCGGCUAACUACGUGCCAGCCGCCGCCGUAA